GCGGGGCCGCGGCUGCGCGCUGGGCCUAGGGAUGAGCGGCGGAAGCCUGUGGCGAGCCGGUGAACGCGGGGAACGGAAAGGAGGCGGCAGGAGGCGGAGGGCAAGCGCUUCUCCGCAGAACCGGACCUCACGCCUAGGGACCGCGGGAAAGCAGGAGCGGAACCCGGAAGCAAAUGACCUGGAAGUGACGCGCGGCACUUCACUGGCGGACGCUGGCUGGCCGGGUUGUCAUGGAAACAGGACAGUGCUGGAGAGCCCGGACUGAUGUGAAGACCCGCGAUCCCAUUUCAGAGAAGGAACGGCAGAAGUCACGCGGGACUGGAGAGGGGGCCAUGGGUGGUACUGCUGGCGACCGAGGUUAAGGAUCCAGAUCGAGGUGGGCUGGUGGGGUCAAGAAGGCUUAGGAGAGGGCUCUGCAGUUGGCACUUGUUGCUGGCAGAGUACCUGGGUUCGGUUCCCAGCACCCACGUGACGAGUUACAACCAUCCAUAACACCAGUACCAGGGGAUCUGAUGGCCUCUCUCACCUCCACGGUUAUCUGGCGUGUACAUGGUGCACAUACGUAGAUUCAGGCAACACGCUCAUAUACGUAAUAUAAAAGUAAAUCGCUACAUAGCGAAACUCGUUCUCAAUAACAGUGGGUAUAAUUAUAAUAACGGAAAUAAUAAAUCCCUAUUAAUUCAUAGACGACCUCAUCACGCGGUUCAUUCCGAAAGCUGAGUCAGGAUGAGUAACUUAUCGAGCUCCUCCCUCAAAAAAAAAAAGUAAUAAUAAAAGGUUGGAGUUGUAGCCCA
Long non-coding RNA from Mastomys coucha (southern multimammate mouse), 794 nucleotides. RefSeq lists it as uncharacterized. The transcript has 2 exons. Lineage: Eukaryota; Metazoa; Chordata; Mammalia; Rodentia; Muridae. The record is from RefSeq and is a predicted model, not a curated record.